Molecule: non-coding RNA, 31 nt
Filed under: Rattus norvegicus (Norway rat)
Lineage: Eukaryota; Metazoa; Chordata; Mammalia; Rodentia; Muridae
Source: RNAcentral
UGUUACUGCCAUCCUCCUGCAGGACUGUAGC